This 253-nucleotide ribosomal RNA is filed under the name uncultured bacterium. Its description in RNAcentral is "partial 16S ribosomal RNA". It matches the Rfam family "Bacterial small subunit ribosomal RNA", at positions 524 to 776 of the family's 1533-position model. The record is from RNAcentral.
UACGGGGGGGGCAAGCGUUGUUCGGAAUUACUGGGCGUAAAGGGCUCGUAGGUGGCCAACUAAGUCAGACGUGAAAUCCCUCGGCUUAACCGGGGAACUGCGUCUGAUACUGGAUGGCUUGAGAUUGGGAGAGGGAUGCGGAAUUCCAGGUGUAGCGGUGAAAUGCGUAGAUAUCUGGAGGAACACCGGUGGCGAAGGCGGCGUUCUGGACUGUUUCUGACACUGAAAAACGAAAGCCAGGGGAGCAAACGGG